RNAcentral lists this non-coding RNA (20 nucleotides) under Mus musculus (house mouse). The record is from RNAcentral. Lineage: Eukaryota; Metazoa; Chordata; Mammalia; Rodentia; Muridae.
UGACAACACACCUAAAAGCU